RNAcentral lists this ribosomal RNA (792 nucleotides) under Periconia imperatae. RNAcentral describes it as "partial large subunit ribosomal RNA". It matches the Rfam family "Eukaryotic large subunit ribosomal RNA", at positions 91 to 901 of the family's 3401-position model. The record is from RNAcentral. Lineage: Eukaryota; Fungi; Ascomycota; Dothideomycetes; Pleosporales; Periconiaceae.
GAGUGAAGCGGCAACAGCUCAAAUUUGAAAUCUGGCCCUUUCAGGGUCCGAGUUGUAAUUUGCAGAGGGUGCUUUGGUGUUGGCGGCGGUCUAAGUUCCUUGGAACAGGACAUCGCAGAGGGUGAGAAUCCCGUAUGUGGUCGCCCGCCUUCGCCGUGUAAAGCCCCUUCGACGAGUCGAGUUGUUUGGGAAUGCAGCUCUAAAUGGGAGGUAAAUUUCUUCUAAAGCUAAAUACCGGCCAGAGACCGAUAGCGCACAAGUAGAGUGAUCGAAAGAUGAAAAGCACUUUGGAAAGAGAGUCAAACAGCACGUGAAAUUGUUAAAAGGGAAGCGCUUGCAGCCAGACUUGCCUGUAGUUGCUCACCCGGGCUCCUGCCCGGGGCACUCUUCUGCAGGCAGGCCAGCAUCAGUUUGGGCGGUAGGACAAAGGCCUCUGACACGUAUCUCCCUUCGGGGUUAACAUAUAGGGGGGGCGCAAUGCUACCAGCCCGGACUGAGGUCCGCGCAUCUGCUAGGAUGCUGGCGUAAUGGCUGUAAGCGGCCCGUCUUGAAACACGGACCAAGGAGUCUAACAUCUAUGCGAGUGUUUGGGUGUCAAGCCCGAGCGCGUAAUGAAAGUGAACGGAGGUGGGAACCCCUCGGGGCGCACCAUCGACCGAUCCUGAUGUCUUCGGAUGGAUUUGAGUAAGAGCAUAGCUGUUGGGACCCGAAAGAUGGUGAACUAUGCUUGAAUAGGGUGAAGCCAGAGGAAACUCUGGUGGAGGCUCGCAGCGGUUCUGACGUGCAAAUCGA